UGGGGAAUUUUGGACAAUGGGGGAAACCCUGAUCCAGCCAUCCCGCGUGUGCGAUGAAGGCCUUCGGGUUGUAAAGCACUUUUGGCAGGAAAGAAACGUCAUGGGUUAAUACCCCGUGAAACUGACGGUACCUGCAGAAUAAGCACCGGCUAACUACGUGCCAGCAGCCGCGGUAAUACGUAGGGUGCAAGCGUUAAUCGGAAUUAAUGGGCGUAAAGCGUGCGCAGGCGGUUCGGAAAGAAAGCUGUGAAAUCCCAGAGCUCAACUUUGGAACUGCAUUUUUAACUACCGGGCUAGAGUGUGUCAGAGGGAGGUGGAAUUCCGCGUGUAGCAGUGAAAUGCGUAGAUAUGCGGAGGAACACCGAUGGCGAAGGCAGCCUCCUGGGAUAACACUGACGCUCAUGAACGAAAGCGUGGGGAGCAAACAGG
Molecule: ribosomal RNA, 429 nt
Filed under: Acidobacteriota bacterium
Lineage: Bacteria; Pseudomonadati; Acidobacteriota
Description: Acidobacteria bacterium partial 16S ribosomal RNA
Rfam family: Bacterial small subunit ribosomal RNA
Source: RNAcentral